Molecule: ribosomal RNA, 253 nt
Filed under: uncultured bacterium
Lineage: Bacteria
Description: partial 16S ribosomal RNA
Rfam family: Bacterial small subunit ribosomal RNA
Source: RNAcentral
UACGUAGGGGGCAAGCGUUGUCCGGAAUUAUUGGGCGUAAAGCGCGCGCAGGCGGUUCCUUAAGUCUGAUGUGAAAGCCCACGGCUCAACCGUGGAGGGUCAUUGGAAACUGGGGAACUUGAGGACAGAAGAGGAGAGUGGAAUUCCACGUGUAGCGGUGAAAUGCGUAGAUAUGUGGAGGAACACCAGUGGCGAAGGCGACUCUCUGGUCUGUCUCUGACGCUGAGGUGCGAAAGCGUGGGUAGCAAACAGG